Oryctes borbonicus is the source of this 46-nucleotide non-coding RNA. NCBI's taxonomy places the organism in Eukaryota, Metazoa, Arthropoda, Insecta, Coleoptera, Scarabaeidae. The record is from Rfam.
GAAUCGGUUCUUUUCAGAACCACAAACGGUAUUCCUAAAAGGGGAA